AAUCAACGCUGGCGGCGUGCCUAACACAUGCAAGUCGAACGCGAAAGCCCCGCAAGGGGUAAGUAGAGUGGCAAACGGGUGAGUAACACGUGGGUGACCUGCCUUCGAGUGGGGGAUAACGUCCCGAAAGGGACGCUAAUACCGCAUGACAUCCUGCUUUUGAAAAAGCGGAGAUCAAAGCUGGGGAUCGCAAGACCUAGCGCUUGAAGAGGGGCCCGCGCCUGAUUAGCUAGUUGGUGAGGUAACGGCUCACCAAGGCGACGAUCAGUAUCCGGCCUGAGAGGGCGGACGGACACACUGGGACUGAGACACGGCCCAGACUCCUACGGGAGGCAGCAGUGGGGAAGUGUUCGCAAUGGGCGCAAGCCUGACGACGCAACGCCGCGUGGAGGACGAAGAUCUUCGGGUCGUAAACUCCUGUCGAGCGGGACGAACGCUUCGCGGAUGAAUAAUCCGCGGAAUUGACGGUACCGCUAAAGGAAGCCCCGGCUAACUCCGUG
RNAcentral lists this ribosomal RNA (500 nucleotides) under uncultured bacterium. Its description in RNAcentral is "partial 16S ribosomal RNA". It matches the Rfam family "Bacterial small subunit ribosomal RNA", at positions 29 to 507 of the family's 1533-position model. The record is from RNAcentral.